UGGUGUCUGGGAGGCUGAGGUGGGUGCCUGCUGAGAGCCAGCACUUGGUCCCCAAGAGAGAUUUUUGCUGAUGCUCUCCAGCAACUUGAUUUAUGAUCAAACACCUUUCUCUGCAUUUCAGUUAAGGAAGAAAUUAAGAGACAAGUAUUUUUUUCUUUCAACUCUUUUGUUCUCUUCCCUGAGCUUGGUGUAUUGGUUCCAUUCAACAUCUGAAAAGCAAGUCUGGUAAAGAUUAUCUUCUAGAAGUGAAAAGGAAGGAAGCCUCUCAGGGGGGACUCUCCACGCAGAUUGUGAAGCUCUUUCCACAGGCUGCUGGGCGGGAAAGGUAUUGCCCCAUGAUGCCAUACAAAUUACCUAUGGAAGAUGUUCACCCUCUAUCUCAGACCUUUUUCAAAUGAAAGGCAGUGAAAUGGACCUUGGAACUGGAAGAAUAGAACAUCUCUCAGGCUACCUUGGAACAGCUCCUGCCUGUAGCCUCAUCUUUGGCUGCAUGGUAAGGACCCCAGGAAAACACACUUCUGGAAUAAGUAGAACACUCUGAAUGUUUUCCAGCCAGGAUGUCUUCAUGAAUUGGAAAAGCUCCCCAUUCUUGGUGAUUUUGUAUUUCAUAAAUCUCUGUUCCUGGUAGUAAUUUCUGUGUUACUCGGGUUUCUUUGGUUACACGAAAUAGACUCGCAUGCAUUAACUCAGGUUAUGAGGGGCUUGUGAUCCCAGGCAUAUCCAAA
Manis pentadactyla (Chinese pangolin) is the source of this 725-nucleotide long non-coding RNA. RefSeq lists it as uncharacterized. The record is from RefSeq and is a predicted model, not a curated record. NCBI's taxonomy places the organism in Eukaryota, Metazoa, Chordata, Mammalia, Pholidota, Manidae. The transcript is spliced from 4 exons.